Molecule: non-coding RNA, 48 nt
Filed under: Trichobilharzia regenti
Lineage: Eukaryota; Metazoa; Platyhelminthes; Trematoda; Strigeidida; Schistosomatidae
Source: RNAcentral
AUCCAGUUGACGAGUCCCAAAUAGGACGAAAUGCGCGUUGUCCUGGAU